UGGGGAAUAUUGCACAAUGGGCGCAAGCCUGAUGCAGCCAUGCCGCGUGUGUGAAGAAGGCCUUCGGGUUGUAAAGCACUUUCAGCGAGGAGGAAGGUGGCGAACUUAAUACGUUCAUCAAUUGACGUUACUCGCAGAAGAAGCACCGGCUAACUCCGUGCCAGCAGCCGCGGUAAUACGGAGGGUGCAAGCGUUAAUCGGAAUUACUGGGCGUAAAGCGCACGCAGGCGGUUUGUUAAGUCAGAUGUGAAAUCCCCGGGCUCAACCUGGGAACUGCAUUUGAAACUGGCAAGCUAGAGUCUCGUAGAGGGGGGUAGAAUUCCAGGUGUAGCGGUGAAAUGCGUAGAGAUCUGGAGGAAUACCGGUGGCGAAGGCGGCCCCCCUGGACGAAGACUGACGCUCAGGUGCGAAAAGCGUGGGGCAGCAAACAGGAUUAGAUACCCUGGUAGUCCACGCUGUAAACGAUGUCGAUUUGGAGGUUGUGCCCUUGAGGCGUGGCUUCCGGAGCUAACGCGUUAAAUCGACCGCCUGGGGAGUACGGCCGCAAGGUUAAAACUCAAAGGAAUUGAC
Molecule: ribosomal RNA, 570 nt
Filed under: uncultured bacterium
Lineage: Bacteria
Description: partial 16S ribosomal RNA
Rfam family: Bacterial small subunit ribosomal RNA
Source: RNAcentral